Molecule: long non-coding RNA, 1956 nt
Filed under: Marmota monax (woodchuck)
Lineage: Eukaryota; Metazoa; Chordata; Mammalia; Rodentia; Sciuridae
Source: RNAcentral
CAGGGAUUGAACCCAGAGCUGCUUAACCACUGAGACUAACCAGGACACUUAAUUCAGUGUAAGAAUUGAAACAAAAAGGCAAAGAGUGUUGCUGGAACAUGUAUGUCAACUGGAACAAGUAUGUCAGCCCAGUUUUGCAGCUCUACACAUGUCUGAGAUUGGCCAUGAAAACACAGUGAGUGUUCAUUCUGGGGUUACAAACAAAAUUUAUUAAGUGAAUUUGCAAAUACAGAAUUCAAAAAUAAUGAGGAUCAAUUAUAUUCAGAAGUAGUGAUUCCCAUACCUUGGUGGACUUGAAGAGAAAAUGAAUCUGGUAUUGGUUAAAAAUGAACAUAAUUGAUUAUACCUUUCAUAUCAUUUUCAAGUAGGAUACAGCAGAAAGUACAUGGAAUUGGGAGAAUUGAAGUCUCUAUAGUUCCACGUCUUUGUCUUACUGUGUAGGUAUCUGAAAUCCUGUUUCUCAGUUUCCACCUCUCUAAAUUGAGACCAGUAAUUUUCGUCUUACUCUGUCAUUGUGAUCAUGAGAGUGCAAUGACUUUUCUUAAGGUCUCACUGCUAUCUAAUGUUGAGAUUGGGAUUGAAGGAGAAGCCAGUUUAUACAUCAGAAUCUUCCUUUGCAGAUUUGUUGGUUCUCCUACAGAAAACAGGCCAAAUUUAUGCUAAUAUUGGGAGUUGAAUAAUGAGUGUGUUUUCAUUCAAAAUACCUUAUGAACUCAAGGAAGCCAAAUACAUCUAUCAGCGUUUUCUGAUUAAACUGUCUUAAAUAAGAAAAAAUAAUGAGUCAAUUGUUAUUUGAUACCCCCGCCCUGCAUCUGCUAGUAUUUUAAGAGGAAAAUAAGAAUGAGAUACAACAUUUACCUUCUGACAUAACAAAAGGGCCCAGUGAGAAGUUGGUUAUGCUGUGAUUGAUAGGUCUUGGUGUAGGUAGAGGAGACACCACAAAAAGAUCCACCCCUCUGCCAGCCUUGGGCCCCUGUACUGUUCUUCUAUCCUGCUAAAUUAAAUAUGUAACCUUUUGGUUUGGGGGCAGAAACUAUGGCACAUGCACAUAUGAACCAUGGUCCUGGAAGAAUCAUUCUUAUUUAAUCAGUAUUGGCCAUGUGUACCCUAAGGAUAAGUGCCAAUGCCGUAAGCCUUCUACUUUGUGGCCAGGAGGAGUAGGGAGGGACCUGGGCAGGCGGAGGGGGGCAUUGAUAUACUAAUUAUAUAAUAUUUAGCUUAAAAGACACUAGAGUGGACAUCCAGAGUCCAUGCUAAGAGCCACAUCUUCCCAAUGUGCCGCCCCAUCCCUUUUCCUUUGUUUCAUUCACAGGGAGCCUUGUUAUUGCUUAAAAUCCAAUGAAUCUGAAAAAUUUCAACUAUAGUACUUGAGGGGUCACUCCACUCAGAGGUAUUUUACAAUUUAGUAUGCCACUCUUUUUUUAAUAUUUAUUUUUUUAGUUUUAGGUGGACACAAUAUCUUUUAUUUUUAUGUGGCGCUGAGAAUGGAACCCAGUGCCUCAUCCAUGCUAGGUGAGUGUGCUACCACUUGAGCCAUGUACCCAGCCCCAAGUAUGCCACUCUUAAAGAUAGAAUAUUUUUCAGAUCCCCAAAAUAAAUCUUCGAUGUUAGAGAUGAGAUUCUCUGAUGCCCUCAUUUCUCUUAGAAGCCCCUAAUCACAUCAAAUGAACCUACUCAAUUUUAGGCUAAAGCCUUGUAAAAAGCAAGUGAAAUCUGAAUCUCCCUUAUGAGAAAAACAUUUUUUAGUGAUAACUUAAGUGUCACUUUGUACAACGCUCUUUUGCAAUAUACUAUAUUAUAUGGCCAAAUAUCCAUGUUUCAGAGUUGUACUAGGUGGCUUGUAUAAGCACUAUUUAUUGUAAAGUGGGGGACCAUAUAUCUAUAAAGUUCUUUCCAAUUUCCAAAAUCAGUUGAUAAACCUGGCUAUACCUUUAUUUUUAUUGAACAAUCAUGACA